UAAGAUAGAGGCGCAGGGCUUAAAAGUAGCUCUCGUUCACAACCCGUCGAAGGGGAACGAGAAAGAAAGGAAGUCUUGCCGAAACCGUUGCGUGUUCGCACCUCGCAACAGGUUGGGCGUCGGUAAAACAUAUCGACGACUGUCGCUUUUUUUAGCGGAGAGCUAUCGUG
RNAcentral lists this non-coding RNA (170 nucleotides) under human gut metagenome. RNAcentral's name for it is "Lysine riboswitch". It matches the Rfam family "Lysine riboswitch aptamer". Rfam says of the family: Riboswitches are metabolite binding domains within certain messenger RNAs that serve as precision sensors for their corresponding targets. The record is from RNAcentral.